AUCGACCAGCCGACCAACUGACCAACUUAAGCGGACAGUAGGCCAAAGCAACAAUUAUAAGCAACAGCCCAAAGGACCGCUGGCAACAGACACGGACGACUUGUGUAAAAGCGAUUAAUUGAGGCUAAGCAAUUGCAAAGUAUUUCUGUAUGAAAAUAGUCGAUAUUUGAAAAUCUUCUCUGAGAUUACGUCAAGAUUUCUUUCUAUACAUGAUUGAAUUGAUGGUCUAGCAAAAUUGCUGAUUAUUGCGGCUUAGCCCCUUCGUACAUUCUACAUGUCUGAGGAAUCGCUUCCAAUAGAGGCAGCAAUACAUAAGUCUAACUGGCUGCUGAAUUGAACUGGCAUGGAGUGGCGACUGUGUCAGCACUAUCAGUAGUCAUUCGUACGAGUAUCCGUGUCCGUGCAAACAUUCGCAUAAUUAUUGCACACGUACGUGUAUGUGUACGUUGACAUAUAUACAUACAUACAUAAACUUGUAUAUGCAUACAAAUGCGCGCACACUGUUCAAGUGUAUGGUUAUGUAUCUCAUAAGUAAACAUUUUGUAUUACUAGAAGCCCAUUUUUCUGUUUAUACCAACGAAAUUUAAUUGUUUGAGCCAUAUUUUUAAGGCAGCUUGAUUUAUUACGUUAUUUCCGUUCUUCUGUUAUUUUUUAUUAUUUUUUUUGUUUUCGUUUUGCCAUUUUCAAAAGUUAUUUCGGGAAUUUUUAAACCGUUCAUACAUUUGUACAUACUGUCACAUACAUACAUACAUACAUAGAAAUGUAUGUAUGCAAAUAAAUGUGCUGUGUGUUUUUAUUUAUAUUUUUUGCACCAAAACUCACUCACACGAAAUAUGAUUACCGCCUCUAUCUCCGACACAGUCCCCGUCACCGUCACUGUAGCUGUUGGAACAGCCGUCCUCCACGUUUCAGUUUCACGUUCAAAGAGGCUGUAUAUUUGUGCAGCUACAAUACAAAACCACCGCCGCGUACGUAUUUCACACUCGUCACUCGUUCGUUCACUCAUUCGCUCCGAAUGCCUUACGUCGAAGACUGUGACUGACGAAAGCAUUCAACAGCAACGCAGAGACGGCCAAGCAACGAAAGCGACUACGACAACGAUUCACAGUGGGUCCCUGAUGUCAGCACAGAAAGCAAACAAACGAAAAGAAGAGGAAGAGGAAGAAUUACCGAAAGCACGUGGAAAGUCGCCGUUGCCGAAAGGGUUGGUGCGUGACUACCAUUCGGGAGUGUGUAGGUUCGAAUAUCCGUGCGUGAAACAGCAAAACGAAAAAGUUUUUUUAAUAGUGGUCGCCCCUCGGCAUGCAAUGGCAAGCCUCCGGGUGUAUUUCUAUCAUGAAAAAGCUACUCAUAAAAAAAGCAUUUGCCGAUCGGAGUCGACUUAAAACUGCAGGUCCCUCCAUUUGUGGAACAACAUCAAGACGCACGCCACAAAUGGGAGCAGUCGCUUGGACACAUGGUGAAAAGAUGUUUAGAGGUUAGUACCUAGCAGGCCGUUAUUCGGCUCUGAGCGAUUUUGACAGAUAUGCCGACAUCAUUCGUUUUGUGUUUCACAAAAUUUAACUUUAACUUAGUGCUCCAAAGUUCCCUUCAAUCAUCUAUCAUCCUUGGCUCGGACAAACACCUAACAAAAGUGUACGCGCCAAUUAUUUAUUUAAUUUUAAGUGGAAAGAGGAAUACAUCGUGGUGGAAAGCAAAGAAAAAUACUGUAUUAUUGUCAUUCGCGGAACACACGGAACUUAAUUUGUAUUAUUUCGUUCACUUUAAAAAGCAAAAUAUUCACUGAUUGAUUCACAAGCAAGUAAUUUUGGAUCUAAAGUUUUAUUUUCUGUGCUGACUUUACUAAAAUAUCAAAUUCGCCACAAACAAAUUACGUAUUUCUGAUGGUUUUCUCAUAUGGAAUAUAAUAUUUAUACAAUAUAAUGGUGAAAUAAACUAACACUCUACAAGACUCUCAUCAUGCCCGUCCUAACGUAUGGCGCAGAAACUUGGACGAUGACAACAUCCGAUGAAGCGACGGUUGGAGUGUUCGAGAGAAAGAUUCUGCGUAAGAUUUUUGGACCUUUGCACGUUGGCAACGGCGAAUAUCGCAGACGAUGGAACGAUGAGCUGUAUGAGCUUUACGACGACAUAGACAUAGCGCAGCGAAUAAAGAUCCAGCGGCUUCGUUGGCUGGGUCAUGUCGUCCGAAUGGAUACAAACGCUCCGGCUUUGAAAGUAUUCGAUGCGGUACCAGCUGGUGGUAGUAGAGGAAGAGGAAGGCCUCCUCUGCGUUGGAAAGAUCAGGUGGAGAAGGACUUGGCUUCACUUGGUGUGUCCAAUUGGCGCCGGUUAGCACGAGAAAGAAACGACUGGCGCGCUUUGUUAAACUCGGCCAAAAUCGCGUAAGCGGUUAUCGCGCCAAUUAAGAAGAAGAAUGGUGAAAGGUGAACGGAAUUAACAACAUAAUAAUUUCUUAUCUGAAAAUCCUUUAGAGAGGAUAGUGCAAAGAAAGUCGUCACAGAAUCUGUGCUGUAAAGGAUUUGAUAAUUUUUCGUUUUAUCCUGAACGCAAUACGCAACGGUAGCACCAAGGAAAAAUCAGGGUUGUUGGUUCCAUAUGCUCUCGUACUUACUUUCCGCUUUUCGCUCCCACCGGAACAGUUUGGCAGUAGUAACUAAAUGAGAAAGAGUGUCACGUAGCAGUGGAUAUUGAGUCGCACUACCUAUGUGCACUUUCUCCAUAAAGACACACUGUGCAAAGUCGACAAUGACGACAACAACACUAAUGGUACAGAACGAACGCGCAAGAGGAAGCAACAAAUAUAAAAACAAAACAAAUUUGGUUGGGAAAAGAAUUUUUUUCGUUUUUUCUCGUAUAUUUUGUAUAUAAAUAGAUGAAUACACAUGUUUGUAUAAGUGUGUGUAUGUAUGUACAUAUACAUGCACUUGUAUUUAUAUGUAUUCAUAGGUAUGCACUUACAUAUGUAUGUAUUUUUCAUAUACAAUAUUUAUUAAAUACAAAUAUAUAUUAUUUAUUUAUAUAUGUCCAUACAUACAUCCUUUUUUUUAAUCAAUAAGUCGAGUACCGCCUUUAACGGCACGUGUACUGAACUAAAGUAAAAUAACAAUAAGCCAAAAAUACAAUAAUAAAAUUUAAAGUGUAUCAUAACAACAAUCAACCAAUAAAACCACAAUGAGCAGAAACACCUGAAUUCAGAGCUACCGAUAAAUAUUCACACCAAUUAUUUUGUCACAUUUUUGUAUGCUCAUACAAAUAUACAUACAUAUGUAUGUAUGUAUAUUAUAUAUUACUAGGCAUCAACCAUUUUCGUAAAAAACGCGCAAUGACGACGUCGCCAACAACGACAAGAAUUCACACAUAUGUACAUAUGUACAUAUACAUAUAUAUACAUACAUAUAUAUGUAUAUCUACGUCGGCAUUAUCUAGCCACUAGUUAGGUGAUCAUGCCGUUACCCGUCCUUCUCCAAGCUCGCAAUCAUCACCCAUAUCACAUACAUUUCACAUACACAUGCAUAAGCACUGAAGAAAAAACGCUAUACGUAUUGUCAUACGACACAACAUUCUCAUUCGUUACAGUAACUCCAUAGCAGCUGUUUUGUAUUUAUUUAUUUAUUAAUUUUUUUCGUAAAAGGAUGUUCUCAAGUGGUUUUCAAGAAGAGAGCAAAAGCUUUAUUACGUACUACCUCAUCCAAAAGUUAUAUACAUAUGUACAUACAAACUCGUAUGCAUUAGCCGAUUGUGUUCUCAUGGUUUCGUAGAGAUACGAUACCUGUUGU
Molecule: long non-coding RNA, 3779 nt
Organism: Anastrepha ludens (Mexican fruit fly)
Lineage: Eukaryota; Metazoa; Arthropoda; Insecta; Diptera; Tephritidae
Exons: 3
Source: RefSeq, a predicted model, not a curated record